Molecule: long non-coding RNA, 632 nt
Filed under: Medicago truncatula (barrel medic)
Lineage: Eukaryota; Viridiplantae; Streptophyta; Magnoliopsida; Fabales; Fabaceae
Description: lncRNA gene23547
Source: RNAcentral
GAUAUAUAUUUUUAAAUAUAUUUGUCAUGUUUUUACCUUUUAUAAUCAGUACAAAUUGAAUUCGGUAUCUUAAAAUUUAAAACACUUAGUCAAUAUGCAUCAACCACUUGCGUUAGACAUUUGAUGUGGACAUAAUUUUUUUAAUGAAAUAUUGUUCUAAUUUAAUUUCUAUAAAGUAAUAUAUACUAUGGAGUUGGGAUAAUGAUGAAACCUUGUUGGAAAAAAUAACCCUCUUAUCAUCAGGGUUGUCAUGCUUGGAAUGAACCCAUGAUUCACAAGAAAAAUUCACAGGACCAGUGAGAAAGCCAUCAAGAACAAUGUUCUUUAUAAACAUUUCCCUUCUAUGCUCAUUUUCCACAAGAACUGCACCAAUAUCUCCAAAACUUUGUGGUACUUCAAAUUCAGCUUCAUAUUUAAUCUCUUCCACUGAUCUAUGCGUUUGGUGGACGUAACCUUUGAUUCUUUCCUUCUCCAAUUUUGUCUCUUUUUGAACCAAAAACAAGGGAAAAAUACAAGUAAUUAAGGUCAAUUAAUUUUGUUUUUGUUUGGUACAUAAUUAACGUCAAUUUUAGCAUAUAUUGGUCCCCUAGAAAAACAACGUUCUGCUAAAUUUCUUACUUCUACCAGAUAAG